AAAUUGAAGAGUUUGAUCAUGGCUCAGAUUGAACGCUGGCGGCAGGCCUAACACAUGCAAGUCGAACGGUAACAGGAAGCAGCUUGCUGCUUUGCUGACGAGUGGCGGACGGGUGAGUAAUGUCUGGGAAACUGCCUGAUGGAGGGGGAUAACUACUGGAAACGGUGGCUAAUACCGCAUAACGUCGCAAGACCAAAGAGGGGGACCUUCGGGCCUCUUGCCAUCAGAUGUGCCCAGAUGGGAUUAGCUUGUUGGUGAGGUAACGGCUCACCAAGGCGACGAUCCCUAGCUGGUCUGAGAGGAUGACCAGCCACACUGGAACUGAGACACGGUCCAGACUCCUACGGGAGGCAGCAGUGGGGAAUAUUGCACAAUGGGCGCAAGCCUGAUGCAGCCAUGCCGCGUGUAUGAAGAAGGCCUUCGGGUUGUAAAGUACUUUCAGCGGGGAGGAAGGUGUUGCGGUUAAUAACCGCAGCAAUUGACGUUACCCGCAGAAGAAGCACCGGCUAACUCCGUGCCAGCAGCCGCGGUAAUACGGAGGGUGCAAGCGUUAAUCGGAAUUACUGGGCGUAAAGCGCACGCAGGCGGUCUGUCAAGUCGGAUGUGAAAUCCCCGGGCUCAACCUGGGAACUGCAUUCGAAACUGGCAGGCUUGAGUCUUGUAGAGGGGGGUAGAAUUCCAGGUGUAGCGGUGAAAUGCGUAGAGAUCUGGAGGAAUACCGGUGGCGAAGGCGGCCCCCUGGACAAAGACUGACGCUCAGGUGCGAAAGCGUGGGGAGCAAACAGGAUUAGAUACCCUGGUAGUCCACGCCGUAAACGAUGUCUACUUGGAGGUUGUGCCCUUGAGGCGUGGCUUCCGGAGCUAACGCGUUAAGUAGACCGCCUGGGGAGUACGGCCGCAAGGUUAAAACUCAAAUGAAUUGACGGGGGCCCGCACAAGCGGUGGAGCAUGUGGUUUAAUUCGAUGCAACGCGAAGAACCUUACCUGGUCUUGACAUCCACAGAACUUUCCAGAGAUGGAUUGGUGCCUUCGGGAACUGUGAGACAGGUGCUGCAUGGCUGUCGUCAGCUCGUGUUGUGAAAUGUUGGGUUAAGUCCCGCAACGAGCGCAAC
Molecule: ribosomal RNA, 1112 nt
Filed under: Salmonella enterica
Lineage: Bacteria; Pseudomonadati; Pseudomonadota; Gammaproteobacteria; Enterobacterales; Enterobacteriaceae
Also listed under: 2 other names
Description: bacterial SSU rRNA
Rfam family: Bacterial small subunit ribosomal RNA
Source: RNAcentral